RNAcentral lists this long non-coding RNA (417 nucleotides) under Olea europaea (common olive). RNAcentral's name for it is "long non-coding RNA (OEUR_LNC004508)". Lineage: Eukaryota; Viridiplantae; Streptophyta; Magnoliopsida; Lamiales; Oleaceae. The record is from RNAcentral.
AAAUGCAAAAUUCAUCCGUUAAUAAACACACACACAGCGAAUCUGACGUGCGAUGCGAAAUCGAUUCUUCAACGCCGGGAGCCGUCGGCUCCGUUCAGACCUUAGACUUCAUCCUUCUCCUUCUUCCUUUCCCUCGCUACCCGCAGCCAAAUAAUUUCUCAUUCUCCCAAUAUUUACUCCAUUCCCUUUGGGUCUUGUAGCGAUGAUUGCUAUUAAAGAGGAUUCUUUCAUAUUGAUUCCCAAGAAAAAAAUAAUUAACAAAAAGAAAAGAUUGGAGAGGAUUACAUGUGAUCUUUCACCCAUCUAUAUACAUCUGUCUUCUAGCUAAAAUAUCACACUUGUCUAUUUCUUUUUAUAUUUUUAUUUUUUAUUUUUUUGUGUAUGACAGCUUAUCUUUUUAAUUAUUAUAAUAACACG